CGCGUAGGCGGCCAUGUAAGUCGGGUGUGAAAGCCCGGGGCUCAACCCCGGAACGGCACCCGAGACUGCGUGGCUCGAGACCGGAAGAGGUGAGUGGAAUACCCAGUGUAGAGGUGAAAUUCGUAGAUAUUGGGUGGAACACCGGUGGCGAAAGCGGCUCACUGGUCCGGUUCUGACGCUGAGGCGCGAAAGCGUGGGGAGGCAAAACA
This 209-nucleotide ribosomal RNA is filed under the name uncultured bacterium. RNAcentral describes it as "partial 16S ribosomal RNA". It matches the Rfam family "Bacterial small subunit ribosomal RNA", at positions 568 to 776 of the family's 1533-position model. The record is from RNAcentral.